GGUAUACGUUAGGGUGGAGAGUUCUGGACAACCAAAAAGCCACUCACUCGUUAACUUCCAUGGUCUUCCUCUCAAUUGUAGUAGAUGCCAUGUUUGGUCGGACUAUGAUUCCCAAUUGUAGCAGGACACACUACAGCGGAUUUGGAGGUGACACUUCAAAGAGGAAAUGCUUACUCGUCGAUUCUACUUCUACUUCUGACCUGCUUAAUCCAUCCUGAUGCCCUAUUUCUGGCUGGAGUUCAUCACUUCGCUCCUGCAGUGAUGGCUUCAUGUGUAUAGUUCCUGAUCCAUCCUGCUGCCCUCAUUCUGACAAGACUGGAAGGAGAAACUCCCAUCACAUACAACUCCCCAUAACAGACAACAGUAGAAGGUGUGGUACAAGCCUGGAAAAGCAUCACAAAAGAAGAAUGCAGCAGUCUGGUGCUACAAGUCGGUUGCUGGCUUGAUGUAGUUAUUGCAAGCAAGGGAUAUGCAACC
This is a long non-coding RNA of Neoarius graeffei (lesser salmon catfish), 477 nucleotides long. RefSeq lists it as uncharacterized. The record is from RefSeq and is a predicted model, not a curated record. The transcript is spliced from 3 exons. Lineage: Eukaryota; Metazoa; Chordata; Actinopteri; Siluriformes; Ariidae.